Mus musculus (house mouse) is the source of this 1361-nucleotide long non-coding RNA. RefSeq annotates it as predicted gene 10369. Lineage: Eukaryota; Metazoa; Chordata; Mammalia; Rodentia; Muridae. The record is from RefSeq and is marked validated. The transcript is spliced from 2 exons.
UCAGGCCAGGGAGCACAAAAUGUCAGAGUUCACUUCUAAGUGGGUGGGGUGGUGUACCCAGGAAAGGGGCCUGAUGAGGUGUCCCUGGGGGAGUGGGAGGACAGCAGAGGCGGAGACAGUGAGUGCAGGGCAGGAGUCAUGACGUCAUGCCUACUGUCCCAACUCUCCUGGCAACAGCCCAGCGCAGACUACAAUAGGGGAGGUGCUUUGUACUGCAGGGAGGCUGCGGCUGGGGGAGGAGUCUCUGAACGUGGGGCCCCAGUAUACCCAUUAGGGUCUUUAAACCAAAUGAAAGAUGCCAUAGAAAGGACCCCACAGUGCGAAAAGUCAGCGCAGAUCCUGUCCUCUCAGGAAGGACCCCAGUCCUACACUAUCAGUGACUUGCUUCCUGUCCACGCCUGGGUCACAGGCGUGUCACGGGGGUCUGCCCAUCACUCCCCAGUGUCAUGCUGCAGGAAGCAGGGCCUCUGCAUGCCUGUUCCUACGGGUGUGGACUCAGGAGCAGCUACAUCCCACCCUGGGUGAGAAAGCUCUUAAGUUCAUCUAGUAGGAAACUCCCUGGCUCCUCCUCCACCCACUCUCUCAUCACUCCUUCAGAGGAGCAGCAGCAGCAGCAGCCGCUGCAGCAGAACAACCUGACCACGACUUGCUUACCAGCUCGGCUCAGCACGUCCCCUACUAGAGAUCAUCUCCAGACAUGUGUCCUGGCUCGGCGGGACACCUGUCACAGCAUUUACGGCCUUCCUUGCUCUGUCAGCCUGGGAUUUCCUCCAGACCAGAGACAAAGGCACUGCAGUGGGACUCAGAGCCUGGAUCAGAGGACUCAGGAAAGAUGCACAGCCAGGGAACCCAGGGAGCAGGUUCCUCCAGUCUUCCCCAGGCCAGCGCUUCUCAACCUCUCUAAUGCUGCAGCCUUUUUAAUAUAGUUCUUCAAGUUGGGCUGACUCCCAACCAUAAAAUUAUUACCGUUGCUACAUCAUAACUGUAAUUUUGCUACUGUUGUGAACUGUAAAUAUUUGGUAUGCAGGAUAUCUGAUAUGUGACUUCCAAAAGGGUUGUGACCCGCAGGUUGAAUACCCUUGCCCUAGACAAACAUCGAUGACACAGCUGGAAGGCUGGGAUACAGUAGUACACUGAUAGGGCUUUUGCUGGGCAUUCACAAGGCCCUGGGUUCAAUCCCCAGGACUCAUUGCCCACCUGUCUCCCUCUUUCCCUCCCUCUCAACAUGGUUGGUGAGAAGGCUUAGCAGGGAAAGAUGCCCACAACCAAGUCUAACGACCUGAAUUUGGUUCUGGGGGUGGUGGAGGGGGGAGGACCCACAUGGUGGAAGGCCAGAAUAAUAAACUCCCAGUUGUCCUCUA